Molecule: ribosomal RNA, 465 nt
Filed under: uncultured bacterium
Lineage: Bacteria
Description: bacterial SSU rRNA
Rfam family: Bacterial small subunit ribosomal RNA
Source: RNAcentral
CCAGACUCCUACGGGAGGCAGCAGUGAGGAAUAUUGGUCAAUGGCCGAGAGGCUGAACCAGCCAAGUCGCGUGAGGGAAGACUGCCCUAUGGGUUGUAAACCUCUUUUGUCAGGGAGCAACGCCGGCUACGUGUAGCCGGACUGAGAGUACCUGAAGAAAAAGCAUCGGCUAACUCCGUGCCAGCAGCCGCGGUAAUACGGAGGAUGCGAGCGUUAUCCGGAUUUAUUGGGUUUAAAGGGUGCGUAGGCGGAAUGCCAAGUCAGCGGUAAAAUUGCGGGGCUCAACCCCGUACUGCCGUUGAAACUGCAUCCCUUGAGUGCGCGAGAAGUAUGCGGAAUGCGUGGUGUAGCGGUGAAAUGCAUAGAUAUCACGCAGAACUCCGAUUGCGAAGGCAGCAUACCGGCGCCCGACUGACGCUGAGGCACGAAAGCGUGGGUAUCGAACAGGAUUAGAUACCCGAGUAC